Salvia splendens (bonfire salvia) is the source of this 414-nucleotide long non-coding RNA. RefSeq lists it as uncharacterized. The transcript is spliced from 4 exons. Lineage: Eukaryota; Viridiplantae; Streptophyta; Magnoliopsida; Lamiales; Lamiaceae. The record is from RefSeq and is a predicted model, not a curated record.
UGGACAAGAAACGGUAUCCAAGAAUUUGAGAGAUAUACAAGGUUCUGCUUUAGCUAUUAUUGGCAAACAACUGAAGCCAUAUUGAGCUUUUCAAGAUAAUUAUGAAUCUGGUGGAUAUGUUUUGUUAAGCAUCACGGCAGAAAUCAUCCUAAAGACAGCAAAACCAAAUGGUCAUGGUGACCGCGAAUCUUGGCAUGGAAGUAGAAAUGCACCUUCAGAGUUGGCACCUAACAAGGGAUUCAUGCAAGAAUCCAUCUUGUCUGUUCAAGACAUCGAUAUUCAGUCAUUAGUUUUGAUCAGCAAGGUUGGUACAAAUUUAUUUUUUAGGGCAAUAAGGUGUAAAUAUUUUGGUAGCUGCAGGCUGCAAACAGUGCCCGUAUCUUUUAUGCCAAAAAAGUAGAUUAUUAACUUAGU